Molecule: long non-coding RNA, 402 nt
Filed under: Marmota monax (woodchuck)
Lineage: Eukaryota; Metazoa; Chordata; Mammalia; Rodentia; Sciuridae
Source: RNAcentral
ACUCUCCCUUUGGAGGGAUAAUGUUGGCUAAUUCCCAAGGCUGAAUAUGUGGGGAAGACCUUCCAGUCUCAGAACCCUGGCUAGACUACUAGGGGACAGAAUAGGUCACUACCUGGAAACUGUGAUGGAGGUUAUGGCACUGUUUAUCCUUGUGUUCAUUCCCACCCGCAGCCCUCAUUUAGUUCCAAAUCCCUUACCCAAACAGGAAGGGCUACAAGAGAUCUGAGUUUUCCCCAGACAGGUCCUGAAGGACAGUGUAGCUCCAUAUGCCCUGUGGAGGAAAUUUGGUGACCACAGGUUAGAAUCCAAGUAGGAGCCACAAGAGCAUGUAAGUGUAGGCAUGGGUAAUCUUCCCUUAGCCAACUUCUCAACAGUUGUCCCAAAGCUGCCCCUGGAUCCAGU